This is a long non-coding RNA of Galeopterus variegatus (Sunda flying lemur), 1221 nucleotides long. RefSeq lists it as uncharacterized. Lineage: Eukaryota; Metazoa; Chordata; Mammalia; Dermoptera; Cynocephalidae. The transcript is spliced from 2 exons. The record is from RefSeq and is a predicted model, not a curated record.
GGGAAGAAAGAAGAUGAAGAGACAUCAGCCAGCCCUGUGGAGGGAGCAUCGUGCCUGGUGAGACUGAACAAGACAUCGACUGCACGAUGCAGGCACAGCUGUAUCAAGGUGAGCAGAACAGAACCUUCCACGCGUCUGCAGCAGCUCCAGUUCCUCACUUCCUGUGGCUGAGGCCUCCUCGACUCCUUGUGCUUGAAGGGAAGUUUUGCCCUGGGUUUCCCAGGGUGCUGCCCCUGACCAGCCCAGGGCAUGGUGUCCCUGGAGAAGGACCUGCUUGCCCUUUGGGACUUAUUUAUCCCUCCCUUCUCUCUUUCCUUAUCUCAUCUCCUUUCCUUUUUCUGUUCUUCCUUCCAGUCCCCAUCCUUUAUCCCCUUUUCCUCUCCCUCCUUCUUUCCUUCCCUCCUUCCUUCCCUUCUCACAACUCGCUUGAGGAGAUUGGGUCUUGGGCUGCUGUGGAGGUGACAGAUGAAGUCUUAGAAGCCCCACUUCAGCCUCUAGAGAGGGGCUCCCCACUUCCAUCCCCCAUGUGGACUCAGCUCCAGAGCCACACAGGCACCUAGGGUUCUAUAAAUUAGUCAUUGCACUCCCCGCUGCAUUUUAAUAAUCGGCCUCCAGCCCUAGCUCAGAAUGAGAACCCAUGACCUUCUCUCCUUCCUUUUGAGGAGCCCUCUCCCACCCUUCCUAUGGCGCUGGUGAAAGGUGGCCGCACUACCUGCUGGAAGACCUACCAGCUUGGACUUAGGAGCUCCUCUGUCCCAGGUGCACUCCAUAUCCAUCGCUGGUCCCUGCUGCCGUUGUUGCACCUUUCCUGGGAUUUGACUUAGGGCUUCUAUUCCUCCUGUCUGCAUCCAGAAUCCAGCCUUUCCUGGCUGGACCUCCCUGCUCGGUCAUCCGGAUCGCUCCCAGGCAGUCUCACCCUGGAUGUGGCUCCUCUCAUGUGCUGGCUGUAAAUGUUUUGUCUCUUCUAAUCUGCCGAGAGAUGCUUCUGGGUAGGACCUGGGUCGGAUUCCUUCCUGCCCGCCCCACAGUUCCCUUGCCCAGGGCCUGGCUCACAGCAGUGCUUGGAACAUGAGUGCUGGAUGAUUCUGGUGAGAAAUGAGGUGUCCCAGCUCAUAUCUUGCAACUGUCAAAUGUCUCCCUGACCCUCCCUUCUCCUUGAAGUUCUCUCCCUUCCCUGAUGAUUUUGGAUGCAAUUUAAAAUAAAAAUAUUGAUUAAAAAUU